Long non-coding RNA from Cyprinus carpio (common carp), 682 nucleotides. RefSeq lists it as uncharacterized. The transcript is spliced from 3 exons. The record is from RefSeq and is a predicted model, not a curated record. Lineage: Eukaryota; Metazoa; Chordata; Actinopteri; Cypriniformes; Cyprinidae.
AUCCACAGACACUGGUGAGUGUGAAAACGGGGAGGCGUGCUGUAGUCACUACUGUAAGAAUUACCCAGGAGGCUAUGAGUGUGGCUGUAGACCCAACGGCUGCACAUGUGAUGACAUUGACGAGUGUCUGUCUGAGACAUCAGGAUGUUCUUAGUACUGUGUGAACACACUGGGCUCUUAUUAGUGUUUCUGUCAUGUGGGCUUCAGACUGGACUAUGACCAGAAAUCAUGCUUACCUCUCUAUGAGAGGGAACUGGAGGGGGAGGAAGAGAAAGAGGUGGUUUCAGUGUGUGAGGAGGGUUCGUUCAGUGAAGACUGCAGUGUGAGCUGUUAAGACUGUAUCAAUGGAGGAGUGUGUGUGCGCUAGAGAAGGAUCGCCGUGUGUGUGCACCUGGCUGGACUGGGGUCACCUGUAAUGACAGUGAGUGUCUUUAUUCUCUACUAUCACUGACCUCUGACCUUAACAGAAGCCUUGAAGAAAUACAGCUACAUUGUUAAGGUUUAUUUACACAGAGCAAGAAUAAUUGUAAUUAUUUUUUUUAAUGUAAAACAUGCCAAGUAAGAUUUUAAAAUGACGUUUCUUUUGAACUCACAUAGACUUCUUUAUUAUUUAUUUGAGGCUAAAUUAUUUUAUUUAAUAUUCUAUUUUUUUUUAUGGCAAAGAACAAGGGUUAUAAUUAAA